AGCCCUGCCCCCUUUACUUACUCGCCACCUCCUCCGAGAAAAAGAAGCAAAAAGAGAGAAGGAGCUAAAGCUGAGAAAAGCAGGUCUUCUACGUCUGGCGUUUGGAGCACAGGGAGACAGGAAGUGAAAGAUGGUUGUAUUUGCCUGUGCUGGCUGCAGGGCAGCUGUCUUCCUCUGGAUUUUCAGCAGCAUCAGUUGCAGAGCCAGGACUUCUCUGCCUGCUCAUGUUCAUUGGGGAAUCCUGCGUGUUCUUCCACUGAGUCUGGUCUCCUAUUUCAUAAUACUACACAGCUAGAUCUUCAGAUCAAAGGUAAUUGUGUCAAUGGUGUACACUUGAUAAUGUUAAAUUCAAGCACUUUUAAGAGUCAGUCUGGCAUGUAGGAAACAAGAUCUUCUGCCUUGGGAUCUACUGAGUAUAGGACAAAGAAAAUAAACCUAAAAUAUCUUUUUUGUAAGCA
Molecule: long non-coding RNA, 458 nt
Filed under: Numida meleagris (helmeted guineafowl)
Lineage: Eukaryota; Metazoa; Chordata; Aves; Galliformes; Numididae
Description: lncRNA (ENSNMEG00000001318.1)
Source: RNAcentral